Molecule: long non-coding RNA, 1315 nt
Filed under: Papio anubis (olive baboon)
Lineage: Eukaryota; Metazoa; Chordata; Mammalia; Primates; Cercopithecidae
Description: lncRNA (ENSPANG00000036550.2)
Source: RNAcentral
GUUGCCAUGGAAUGAAGGAACUAUGGCGGGGAUUGAGGGAAACCAGUCCUGACGUGCAGGAGGAUUCCAGGCCCAAUCUUACUGGAUAUGAGCCUAGCUUCGGACAGGAGGGUAGCUACUUCUGCAAGUGUCUUCUCUACACUAAGCUCUUCCCACCCAAACGGAGCUCACCGCCCCCCUUGUGUACUCUUCGGCACGUCUUCACCAGAACACUCGAUACAUUGCCAAAUCAUUGUCUGUUUAGACGAGAGUCUUGACGGCAGGGACUCUUGUUCACUUCUGUUCUCCCAUUGUGAGUAGCAUAAUGCCUGAAAUACCGUAAGUGCUGAAGAAAGGUUUGCGGGGUUGAUUAAUUAUUGAACUCUGAAUAAACAAUGGUCAUUUCGAGGACUAUGUUCUCUGGAGACUCUUUUGCUUUUGAUCCAUGGAUUCCCUCAUGUACGGCCUGAACGGUCUGAGAGAUAAGAUACCAGCGCUGUUUCAGAGCCUCUCAGCGGCCGCCUUAGGGGCUGGAUUUAUUGCCUUCUUGAGUGAAAUGUUGGCCUUCAAUUUUGCUGAGCUGUCAAGAGGUGAUUUUAGGUGUGUGGCUGUUGAUUGUCCCACAAGCUAACUUUUUAAGUCAAAAAUACCACCCAGCACUGAAAUGGAGGUUGGUUAUGAGGUGUUAACAGGACCUCUGGGCCACCAAAGAAAAAGGGAUGGGGAAGCCAAGAGAAACACCCUGCUCCCAAUUUUAAAAUGAAAUUAGUAAAAUAAAGAAAUAAAAUGAAAUAGUAAAAUAAAGGAAGAAAUUUGAAACUAUAAAAAAUUUAAAGCUUUUAGUGAAAAAAAAAGGAGGGGGGUGAUGGUUAACAGAGCAGGAUUUGAAAUCAAACAAACUAGUUUAAAAUUCUGAUUCCUCAUUGCCUUUGCUCUACAGCGCAAGUUCCUGACCAUGAGCCUCGCUGUCUUGUCUGUAAAGUGGUGCUGGUGUCUGCCUCUUAGGUAAGCAUUAGCUAAUGCAUGUGAAGUAUCUAAAACCACUCCAAUUAUAUAGCAAAGGCUCAAUAAAAGGUCGUUGUUAUUCAAACAGUUAAAUUGUAUUAAUUUACUUAAUGAACAUUUAUUCAGCACCCACCCUGUGCCAGACACUGUGCUUCACUCAUUGACAUAGAAUGGUGAGCAAGUAUGUGCAGGGUCUGUGCCCUCACAGAGCUUCAUGGUGAAUUGUAAAAGUAGCCAUAGGUUCAGUGGGUUCCCUUUCCGUGCCACCGCACUUUGACACUGAACUCAGCCAUGUGACUGGCUUUGAGCAAUGGGAUGUUAGACAACAUAU